Portunus trituberculatus (swimming crab) is the source of this 575-nucleotide long non-coding RNA. RefSeq lists it as uncharacterized. Lineage: Eukaryota; Metazoa; Arthropoda; Malacostraca; Decapoda; Portunidae. The record is from RefSeq and is a predicted model, not a curated record. The transcript is spliced from 3 exons.
GUUGAGAGGCAUCGGGCAGCUGAAGCGACAUUUUCACAUGCUACACAGUGAGAUUCGAGUUGGUCCUCCAUCCAAAGUCUGCCAAAUUGUAGAGAUUUGUGCACUGCUGCACAACAUCUGCAAAGCAAGAAACAUCAUUCUUCCUGAGGAAGAAGAACAUCUUGCUGCAGCCAAGGAUGGAGGCAACGAGGAGCGACCCCCAGCACAGAAAGUUCAGUCGCCAUGAAGGAAUCCUUUACAGGGAUGAAUUUGUUGUGCUUCACUUCAACAUUGAUGAGUGAUGAGACACCAGUGUCAUGACUGCUGAGAUUGGUGUUAUUCUCAUGUGGAUGAUCUCCUCCUCAUCCACAAACACCAGUGAUGUACCAGGCAAGUCUGGCCCCUGUUGGUGCUGCAAGUGGUGUGGCAGGUGCCUCCUCCUCAACACCCACUGCCUUGGUCACCACUUCUCUCUGUUGGGCUGCUUGUACACUGCUGGCAUCAUUAGUUCUAACUUCAGAAACUAAGCUGAUAAUGUUUUUGGUUUUAUUGCUAAGGACAAAAGUAACAGAAACCAGUAAAUCUAGCUAAGGGUA